This 468-nucleotide long non-coding RNA is filed under the name Bos taurus (domestic cattle). Its description in RNAcentral is "long non-coding RNA NONBTAT007208". The record is from RNAcentral. Lineage: Eukaryota; Metazoa; Chordata; Mammalia; Artiodactyla; Bovidae.
GUUUCAGGGGAUAUUUAUUGUAACUUGAUCGGAAUUAAUGCUAUGAUCUUUUUUUUUCUCUUUUUCAGUAGAUCCCUCUAAAAAUCAUUAAGAUAUAUCUGCUAUAAAUGGGGAAAAGUUCUAUAUAUACAUUCUGCAGAUGACAAUUCUUAGUCAAGCAAUCUUGAAUUUUUUAACUUUACAGAGCAUUUAUAUUUCAAGCACAUAUGCACAAAGCAAGAGUAUCAUCAUCACCAUAAAUGGUUAAGUACACUGGCUUACACAUUAUAUACUGGGUCCUUAUUACAUCAGUCAAACUUCAGUGGCAGUAAUACAGUGGCCGUUCAACAAAUUUCAAAUGAAUGAAUAAAUAGUUUAGCAAACAGCCUUCCUGGAAGGAGUUACCAUCACCCAGAGAAAGGAAGGCAUUUAAGGGAAGGACAAGUUUAGUGAAUUUUACUCACAGAAAUAUUCAACAUUCUAUAAUAA